UAGAUAAUUGUUAUCGAAAUCAACCGGUCCCGUCUUCUAGACAGUAAGUUGACUGCGAGUUGUGAGCUUAGAUCAUAUACUGUAGUAUAGUGAGUGUUGUGACUCUUGAUAGUUAAAUAGUUAAAUCGAAAAAAAAUAAUGGGAAUGAAAUUCCAUAAGUCCGUAGAAACUUAGAUAUAAGACAAAAGUGAUAUGCCAGUACUAUAACGUUUCGCAUAAAAAAAUACUUCACUAUGUUUCUGUACUUGAGCAAAAAAAUCGCUAUACCGAACAAUACAAAAAUCAACUGUCUUGAAUGGAAUUCUAGUCAGGAUUGCAUAGCGGUGGGUGGAGACGAUGGUCUUUUGAAAGUGUUGAAAAUCGAUUCCGGUACACCGGCAGAUGGUAAGCCCAGAGGACUAGCAGGCCAGGCCAAUCUAUCAAUAAACAAAACUCUCGAGGGUCAUUCUGGUAAUGUGUUGACUAUUGUGUGGAAUGAAAAAUACAAUAAACUGACUUCAAGCGAUGAAAAUGGGCUGAUUAUAGUAUGGACAUUGUAUAAGGGAACAUGGCAAGAAGAAAUGAUCAAUAACCGUAAUAAAUCAGUCGUUAAAGGUAUGGCAUGGAAUGGGGAUGGCGAAAAAAUUUGCAUUGUCUAUGAGGAUGGAGCUGUUAUUGUUGGUUCAGUUGAAGGUAGUCGUAUCUGGGGCAAAGAAUUAAAAAAACUUAUGUUAACAGGCGUCCAAUGGUCUCCAAAUUCAAAAUUCCUUCUGUUUACCAUAAAAACUGGUGAAGUUCAUUUGUUUGACAGUGAUGGCAAUUUCAUAUCAAAAUUGGGCAUAGUGUGUUUACCUAUAUCUCUUAAUAAUGUGCCAAUUACUGCCUGUCAUUGGCUUGACAAAAAUAUGAAUGACUGCCCACAAUUGGCAAUUGCAUACAAAACAGGACAUGUACAAUUGAUGAGAGACCAAUAUGAUAUGAAUCCAAUAAUUUUUGAAUGCGAUAUGUCGAUUGUGGCUAUUAAAUGGAACCAUAAUGGCAGUGUUCUGGCGUUGGUUGGUACAUUAAUAGUUGAUGGUGAUGUUAAAGAAUCCAAUGUGCUUCAACUUUAUUCACCUUUUGGAGAACAUUUGAGAACCCUUAGAAUUCCUGGUUAUAUGGUGUCAUCUUGUUGUUGGGAAAGCACGUCUUUGCGCAUCACUUUAGCCAUUGACAGUUUUGUUUACUUUGCUAAUGUGCGAUAUGAUUAUCCUUGGUGUUAUUUUGCCAGUACAAUCGUCUAUGCUUUUAGAAAUUACGAAGAAGGUGUUACAGAGAUUACGUUUUGGAAUAUAAAAAAAAAUGAAUUUUAUCACACAAAAUAUGAUUCAUUGUUAUGUAUGGAUGCUUAUAAAGAUCAUUGUGUUCUUGCUGUACGAAAUAAUAAUGAUGAAUCCAAACCUUAUACUCUUAUUAUUUGCAAUAAUAUAAACACUACGGUUGAUUCCAAACACAUUAAUUUUGAACCGAUAUGGAUUGCAAUGAAUGGGACUCUUGUAGUCGUUUCUUCACACACAAGCUUUAUGACUUGGCAAUAUGCUGUUCCUAAAUCACAUUCUGCAUCCAUAACCAACAUUAAGCGUAAAAAAGUGAAAAUGUUUCAUGUUGAUGAUACUCCUUCUGGUGUUGAUGAACUCACUCAAGAAUCUAGGGAAUUCAAAAGCUCGUCAUUUCAGAAAGAAACCAAGGAUCGUAUAACUUGUAUAACAGCGAGUGAUAAAUAUUUGUUGAUUGGUAGAGAGAGUUGUGCUUUGCAACAAUAUUCAUUGCCUCAAGUAGCUUUGGUGGAAAGAAAAAUGCUGUCCUCUAAACCUUAUAAAUUGGCAUUGAAUUCAAAUUCUAAGCGAUUGGCUAUCAUUGAUUCAACUGGAGUAUUAACUUUUGUUGAGAUAUCAGAUGAUAAUGUUGUAAAGGAGUCAACUAAUUCAGAAGCUUUGAAUUCAUUCCAAAGACGAGAUGUAUGGACUAUGAAGUGGGCAUCAGACGAUCCUGAGCUCUUAGCAAUUAUGGAGAAAACUAGAAUGUAUGUCAUUAGAGGGUUUAACCCUGAAGAACCAAUUAGUACUUCAGCCUAUAUCGCUUCUUUUGAAAAUUUAGAAAUUCAAGCAGUUAUGUUAGACGAAAUUAUUCAGUCUCCAGAAAACCCUUCUCUUGAUUAUGUUGUCACUUUGGAAACAAAAUCAUUGCGAGACACAAGACAACUUUUGGAUAAAGUUAGCAUUGGAGAAGCAAUUCAAUUUAUUAAUGAUAAUCCUCAUCCAAGGCUAUCGAGAUUAUUAGCUGAAGCGGCAUUGCAAGCUUUAGACCUUUCGACAAGUGAAACUGCAUUUGUACAAUGUAAAGACUAUUAUGGCAUCAAACUAGUUAAACAAUUAGCUAACAUAAAUGAUACCCUUUUAAAACAAGCUGAAGUAGCUGUAUAUUUUGGAGAUUAUGUGAAAGCUGAACAACUAUAUAUUGAAGCUGAUCGAAAAGAUUUGGCUGUGAUUCUAUACCAGAAACUUGGUAAUUGGUUUAAGGUUGUUGAACUUUUAAAAUCAAGUUCUUCACUUCUGGGAAUUUCCGGCCUCACAAUGAAUUUAGCAUGGCAAGGAAUUGGUGAUCAUUUCCUAGAUAAUCAACAAUGGGAUAUGGCUGUUGAAUACUAUAAAAAAGCUGAUAAUCCAGAAAAGCUAGUUGAAUGUUAUAUAAUACUCAAGGAUUACGAAUCAUUAGCAUCUCUUGCUAAAAGUCUGCCAGAACACCAUCCAUUAUUGGAAACAAUUUCAGUGUUUUUUGUUAAUAGUGGAAUGGUUGAAGACGAGUCUAUAAAUCAAAAGUUUUCAAAAGCAACAAUGACGAGUAUUGAAUUUGAUACUGGCAAAUUAAAUGAACAUAUGAUAUCUAUAAAUGAUACAAAUCGUGAUCAGUGGUUAGAUAAUAUUAAAAACGUGUUGACAAUGGUUUCCAAAUGUAUAAACGGAGAACGAUAUACAGAAGCUGCCCAAUUAGUAUUUGCUAUUGUUUAUCAAGAAAUAAAUUCUGAUAUACAACCAAACGUUAUAAAGCAGUUGGCUACAGCUGGUGCACUAUUGAUUGAAGAGUACAAAGAGAAAAACAUUCAAUCCACCCUGUUAGAUGCCAAAGAAAUUGUAAUAGACAAUUUUGAAAUCAAGCCAUUUAAAUCACGUGCUGAAAUUAUAGAAAACAGUUGGCAUAUUGUUGAAUCUAUACAUUUUUUAAUACUCGCCCAACAACAACUGUACAAUGGAGACUUUCAUUUAGCUAUAUGGACAUCAUUAACGCUUCGCAACUACGAAAACUUGUUAAACACAGAACAAAUAUACUCAAUUAUAGCAUUGGCAGCAAUAGCAAAUGGUUUGUUUAAUAUCGCGUCUAGAGCUUUCAUGAAACUUGAAACUUUAGAUUCAGUAAAAAAAAAAUUACCAUCAAUUGUCAUUAAUCAUAUUUAGUAAGUAUGCUCCUAAAGACUCUAAUCCAUUAUUCAUUCAAUGUUACAGUUGUUUGGACGACUUUCCAGCUUGGUCCUUGAAAUGCCCAAAAUGUAAAAUCAAACCAGAAGCCAGUAUUGUUACGGGUCAACCACUGACAGACAUCAAAUCUCUUUGGUGUUGCAGACAAUGCAAACGUAGUGCAACUACCAUAGAUAUGGGUCCAUUGAAUUACUGUCCAUUGUGUAGGAAAGAGGUUAUUCUUUCAUUUUAAAUUAUUUCACUUCUCAUGUUAUGAUUGCACGUUACACUUUCAAGUCAAGAUUUGUACACAAAUUGUUUUGCUAUUGAAACUAAUUCCGUCCUUUUUACACUUAAACGUGCACUAUGAUAAGACUGAGCAAAAUAUACUCGUGAGUAAGAUAUAUAUUUAUUAAAUAAAUAACAAUAUAUUCAAACAAGUUUAUAAGUGUAUAAUAAUAUAUUUUAAAUU
RNA transcript from Rhopalosiphum maidis (corn leaf aphid), 3942 nucleotides. It is a transcript of the gene named WD repeat-containing protein 35, with no coding region annotated. The transcript is spliced from 22 exons. Lineage: Eukaryota; Metazoa; Arthropoda; Insecta; Hemiptera; Aphididae. The record is from RefSeq and is a predicted model, not a curated record.